Molecule: long non-coding RNA, 1055 nt
Organism: Physeter macrocephalus (sperm whale)
Lineage: Eukaryota; Metazoa; Chordata; Mammalia; Artiodactyla; Physeteridae
Exons: 5
Source: RefSeq, a predicted model, not a curated record
GGAGCUGUCAGGUGCAGCCUGUCUCCAGCCCCAUGGCCUGAUGGCCAGGCCGUCUGGGAGCUGUUCACUCACUGAUGGACCAAGCCGCCCCACCCCCGGCUGAGCGCCCAGAUGGAGGCCAGGGGCAACCGAGGGGCCGCCCGGGGGGCGAGGCCGACGGCCGAGGCCAGUGGAGGCCCCGCGUCCUGUCCCCUGAAGGUCUCCAGGAACUCAUCAAUGGUCACCACCCCGUCCUGAUUCCGGUCCAUCUUCUGCAACUCAAGCCACGCCCUCAACAGGUCCCUGGCGGAGCCGCGGGCAGCUCUUGGAAGGCACAGGAACACUGCCGGGGGGUGUCGGCGGCCUUGGGAUCUGUGAGCCCCUGCCUGCUCUGAGACGCAGUUUGGCAGAUCAGUGAGCGGGGAGGGCUUUCAUUCGCUCCCUGGGAUCCGGACAACCGGCCCGAUGGGGGAUGCAAGUUGAACCUCCUCGUGGGAGCGGGGAGGCCCCCAGAGGGCAGUGGCAGGCCCAGGACUGCCCGAAGAGCCGAAGCCCCUUCCUCCUCUGGCCGCCCUUCCCGCGCAGCCCGGGGCUGGAGCGCUCACCUGGAAGAACCGCUCCACGUGCUCCAGGGGCGCGUCCUCCCGCAGGAUGGGGACCUCUCCGUAAGAAAGGAUGAUCCAGGACACCUGUUGAACGGGAUCGAGACACGUGGUGAGGGGCACCAGAGCUCCACGUCGCCCGCGCCCAGGUUAAAGGCCCACUUGAGUUUCUCAUGGACUGUUCCUCGCAGGAGGAUGGAGAGACCGACCACAAAGUCCUGUGGAGGAAGGGGAGGGGGCUCAGAUUCUAGUUCCAGUUCGCGGUGUGGCUUCCACUGAAACUCACACCUAUACAGGUGAGGCACCUCCAUCACAGAGCGGGCAGAUGGUGUCCAUCAGGUCAAUACAGUGUGAGUGUGUGUGAGUGUGUGUGUGUGUGUGUGUGUGAGUGUGUGUGAGUGUGUGUGUGUGUGCGUGUGUGUGUGUGCGUGUGUGUGGCGGGGAUGGCACAGUGGCUGGAACUGAUCAUCUCAA